GUUGUAAUUUGUAGAGGAUGCUUUUGGUUAGGUGCCUUCUGAGUUCCCUGGAACGGGACGCCAGAGAGGGUGAGAGCCCCGUACGGUUGGACACCGAGCCUCUAUAUAGCUCCUUCGACGAGUCGAGUAGUUUGGGAAUGCUGCUCUAAAUGGGAGGUAAAUUUCUUCUAAAGCUAAAUACCGGCCAGAGACCGAUAGCGCACAAGUAGAGUGAUCGAAAGAUGAAAAGUACUUUGAAAAGAGGGUUAAAUAGCACGUGAAAUUGUUGAAAGGGAAGCGUUUGCGACCAGACUUUUUCCAGGCGGAUCAUCCGGUGUUCUCACCGGUGCACUUCGCCUGGUUUAGGCCAGCAUCGGUUCUCUUAGGGGGAUAAAGGCCUGGGGAACGUAGCUCCUUCGGGAGUGUUAUAGCCCCUAGCGUAAUACCCUUCGGGGGACCGAGGAACGC
Molecule: ribosomal RNA, 447 nt
Filed under: Daldinia loculata
Lineage: Eukaryota; Fungi; Ascomycota; Sordariomycetes; Xylariales; Hypoxylaceae
Description: eukaryotic LSU rRNA
Rfam family: Eukaryotic large subunit ribosomal RNA
Source: RNAcentral